This 54-nucleotide transfer RNA is filed under the name Capra hircus (goat). It matches the Rfam family "tRNA", at positions 10 to 63 of the family's 71-position model. From Rfam's summary of the family: Transfer RNA (tRNA) molecules are approximately 80 nucleotides in length. RNAcentral also lists the same sequence under 1 other name. The record is from Rfam by way of RNAcentral. Lineage: Eukaryota; Metazoa; Chordata; Mammalia; Artiodactyla; Bovidae.
UUUUAAUGGUAAAGAAUCUGCCUGCAAUGCAGGAGACCCAGGUUCAAUCCCUGG